RNAcentral lists this unclassified non-coding RNA (333 nucleotides) under soil metagenome. Its description in RNAcentral is "partial contains 5.8S ribosomal RNA, internal transcribed spacer 2, and large subunit ribosomal RNA". The stretch from base 1 to 120 matches the Rfam family "5.8S ribosomal RNA", at positions 35 to 154 of the family's 154-position model. The record is from RNAcentral.
GAUGAAGAACGUAGUGAAAUGCGAUAAGUAAUGUGAAUUGCAGAAUUCAGUGAAUCAUCGAAUCUUUGAACGCACAUUGCGCCCGCCAGUAUUCUGGCGGGCAUGCCUGUUCGAGCGUCAUUUCAACCAUCAAGCCCCAGGCUUGUGUUGGAGCCCUGCGGCUGCCGCAGCCUCCCAAAACCAGUGGCGGGCUCGCUAUCACACCGAGUGCAGUAGUUUACUCUUCGCUCAGGGCGUGUGGCGGGUGCUAGCCGUAAAACCCCCAACUUCUCAAGGUUGACCUCGGAUCAGGUAGGAAUACCCGCUGAACUUAAGCAUAUCAAUAAGCGGAGG